GGAUGUAAGGGUGAUCUGGUUGUGAAAUCUGUCACUCCAUUGAUCACCAGGGUUGAUUCGGCUGAUCUGGCUGGCUAGGUGAGUGUCUCCUUCCUCCCUCACCCAUUCCAUGUGCAUCCCUCCAGAAGCUGAGGGCUUGGUUGAAGAAGAUGACCAUCACUGAUAGAGGAGGACCGUUCUUCGGUCAAGGGUAUAUGAGUAGCUGCACUCACCUGCUAAAACCUCCAAACAAGCUCUCAAGGUCCAUUUGAACUACACCACUCAGGCGCUAAAUGG
RNAcentral lists this small nuclear RNA (276 nucleotides) under Canis lupus familiaris (dog). Its description in RNAcentral is "7SK RNA". It matches the Rfam family "7SK RNA", at positions 1 to 284 of the family's 331-position model. Rfam says of the family: 7SK was discovered as an abundant small nuclear RNA in the mid-70s but a possible function has only recently been suggested. Two independent studies have found that 7SK RNA binds the CDK9/cyclin T complex (known as elongation factor P-TEFb). Lineage: Eukaryota; Metazoa; Chordata; Mammalia; Carnivora; Canidae. The record is from Rfam by way of RNAcentral. RNAcentral also lists the same sequence under 1 other name.